Molecule: ribosomal RNA, 2298 nt
Filed under: Roseovarius pacificus
Lineage: Bacteria; Pseudomonadati; Pseudomonadota; Alphaproteobacteria; Rhodobacterales; Roseobacteraceae
Description: 23S ribosomal RNA
Rfam family: Bacterial large subunit ribosomal RNA
Source: RNAcentral
CUUGUGACGGCGUACCUUUUGUAUAAUGGGUCAUCGACUUGGUCUAUCCAGCAAGCUUAAGCCGUUAGGUGUAGGCGCAGCGAAAGCGAGUCUUAAUAGGGCGUCGAGUUGGAUGGAUCAGACCCGAAACCGAGUGAUCUAGGCAUGACCAGGCUGAAGGUAAGGUAACACUUACUGGAGGGCCGAACCCACACCUGUUGAAAAAGGUCGGGAUGAGUUGUGCCUAGGGGUGAAAGGCCAAUCAAACUCGGAGAUAGCUGGUUCUCUGCGAAAUCUAUUUAGGUAGAGCGUCAUCCGAAUACCCUCGGGGGUAGAGCACUGGAUGGGUAAUGGGGCCCCACAGGCUUACUGAUCCUAACCAAACUCCGAAUACCGGGGAGUACUGGAUGGCAGACACACUGCGGAUGCUAACGUCCGUAGUGGAGAGGGAAACAACCCUGACCUACAGCUAAGGCCCCCAAUUCAUGGCUAAGUGGGAAAGCAGGUGGGACGACCAAAACAACCAGGAGGUUGGCUUAGAAGCAGCCAUCCUUUAAAGAUAGCGUAACAGCUCACUGGUCUAAACAAGUUGUCCUGCGGCGAAGAUGUAACGGGGCUCAAGCCAUGAGCCGAAGCUUAGGAGUGCGUAAGCACUGGUAGCAGAGCGUAGUGUGACACAGGACUGAUCUUUACUAUCGCACGUCGGAGACGGGAGCGCAGGCAACUGUGCUCAAGUAGCCGGCAGGCGGUAGCACAAGAUCGAGUCCUUUCGAUGAAGCCGGGGCGUGAGCCAUCCGGUGGAGAGAUCACUAGUGAGAAUGAUGACAUGAGUAGCGACAAACAGGGUGAGAGACCCUGUCGCCGAAAGUCCAAGGGUUCCUGCUUAAAGCUAAUCUGAGCAGGGUAAGCCGACCCCUAAGGCGAGGCCGAAAGGCGUAGUCGAUGGGAACCAGGUUAAUAUUCCUGGGCCAGGAGGAUGUGACGGAUCGUGAAGGUUGUUCAGACUUAUCGGAUUGUCUGGGCCGCUGAUCGGUUCCUGGAAAUAGCACCUCCAUGAGAUCGUACCCUAAACCGACACAGGUGGACUGGUAGAGAAUACCAAGGCGCUUGAGAGAACGAUGUUGAAGGAACUCGGCAAAAUACCUCCGUAAGUUCGCGAGAAGGAGGCCCAGUUUCUACGCAAGUAUUGGCUGGGGGCACAAACCAGGGGGUGGCGACUGUUUACUAAAAACACAGGGCUCUGCGAAGUCGCAAGACGACGUAUAGGGUCUGACGCCUGCCCGGUGCCUGAAGGUUAAAAGGAGAGGUGAGAGCCUUGAAUUGAAGCCCAGGUAAACGGCGGCCGUAACUAUAACGGUCCUAAGGUAGCGAAAUUCCUUGUCGGGUAAGUUCCGACCUGCACGAAUGGCGUAACGACUUCCCCGCUGUCUCCAACAUCGACUCAGCGAAAUUGAAUUGCCUGUCAAGAUGCAGGCUUCCCGCGGUUAGACGGAAAGACCCCGUGCACCUUUACUACAGCUUCGCACUGGCAUCAGGAUUGUGAUGUGCAGGAUAGGUGGUAGGCUUCGAAGCAGGAACGCCAGUUUCUGUGGAGCCUCCCUUGAGAUACCACCCUUCGCACUCUUGAUGUCUAACCGCGGUCCGUUAUCCGGAUCCGGGACCCUGCGUGGCGGGUAGUUUGACUGGGGCGGUCGCCUCCUAAAGCGUAACGGAGGCGCGCGAAGGUUGGCUCAGAGCGGUCGGAAAUCGCUCGUUGAGUGCAAUGGCAGAAGCCAGCCUGACUGCAAGACUGACAAGUCGAGCAGAGUCGAAAGACGGCCAUAGUGAUCCGGUGGUCCCGAGUGGAAGGGCCAUCGCUCAACGGAUAAAAGGUACGCCGGGGAUAACAGGCUGAUACUGCCCAAGAGUCCAUAUCGACGGCAGUGUUUGGCACCUCGAUGUCGGCUCAUCUCAUCCUGGGGCUGGAGCAGGUCCCAAGGGUACGGCUGUUCGCCGUUUAAAGAGGUACGUGAGCUGGGUUUAGAACGUCGUGAGACAGUUCGGUCCCUAUCUGCCGUGGGUGUAGGAUACUUGAGAGGAGUUGCCCCUAGUACGAGAGGACCGGGGUGAACGAUCCACUGGUGGACCUGUUGUCGUGCCAACGGCAGUGCAGGGUAGCUAUGAUCGGACAGGAUAACCGCUGAAGGCAUCUAAGCGGGAAGCCCCCCUCAAAACAAGGUAUCCCUGAGGGCCGUGGUAGACCACCACGUCGAUAGGCCGGAGAUGUAAGCGCAGCAAUGCGUUCAGUUGACCGGUACUAAUUGCCCGACAGGCUUGAUU